UGUUGUACGAUGCUAAGUAACUGGAACACCGCAAAGUCCACGCCUAAUUUCACUGCGGCAGAUUUUUUGAAAAUUUUUUUUUUCACUCGCCAUUUUUUUCUUUUUUUUUUUCAUUCACUUUUUUUACUUUCGUCAAGACGUCAGCCUCGUACGUUAAUUAUCGGGAACGAUUCUUUUUUUUUUUCCCCGAAAAUUAAAUUCUUAAUCACCGUUGCAAUCUUUUUGACCGAGUCGUGAGAUUACGCUUUUUUUUUUGUUUGCAACUUUUCGUUAAUCACGAGGACUGCUUUUUUUUUUUGGUUAAUACUCUUCCGUUAAAAUUUCAAAAAAUUUGAAUUUUUUCUUUUUACGUUUCACCCACUUUCUGUAACUUUGACGUACAGUUGAAAAAAAAGAAAAAAAAACUUCGACACGGUUACACUUUAUUGUUCUUAGAGCAAUUGCUAUACUGUUACUGUACUUCCGCAUCUCCUCGACACUAUUUUUCGACACUUUUAUUCGGUUUUUUGGCUGAACCCCCUUUUCUUUGUUUCUGCCAACGCAACUCGCUUUGCUUGCUCGCACGUUUACGCCUUUUUUUUGAAAUAUUUAAACGUCUCUUAGAUUUUCUCGAUUUAAACGCAUACCUUCUCUGCGUAUGCUUUAUAUCCAUCGCGAUAGACGAUUUAAGUAUUUCCCUAAAAAGGCCUGCAUGGCAAUUGUGCUAUAACGCUUAAUUAGUACGAAUGUCACGUAUUAUUUCGUAAUGCUUGAGAUUGCGCGUCGGACGCGACGUGAGAGAAGUGCAAAAAUAAAGGAAAAAAAAAAAAAAAAAAAAACGGCAGGAGAGGAGGAAAAAAGAAAUAAGGAAGAGAUACCUUUGAAAGUAAAAAAAAAAAAAGAAAAAAAUUUAUUUAAAAAAAAUCGCCAACGCAUAUCGCGCUGUAUUUACACAAAUUAGAAAUAUAGGUAGUCGGUAUGCAUUAGAUUAGUCUGGCACUUGAGGAAUGACUAAUUAAUACUUAAUUACAGUUGUCAACUAUCCGAUCGAGACGUAUCGUAAUAUGGUUUCCGUACUGAAUCGGCAUUAUAACGAUAAUGACACGAAGAACCGAUGGACAGACAAAAUUCAUUAGGUUAAUUAGACCUUAGGUUAAAAUAUAUAACGAAGCAGAGUUUUCAUACUGCAAAAAAAAAA
Cephus cinctus (wheat stem sawfly) is the source of this 1177-nucleotide long non-coding RNA. RefSeq lists it as uncharacterized. NCBI's taxonomy places the organism in Eukaryota, Metazoa, Arthropoda, Insecta, Hymenoptera, Cephidae. The record is from RefSeq and is a predicted model, not a curated record. The transcript has 2 exons.